CCGACCGGCGCACGGGUGAGUAACGCGUAUGCAACUUACCUAUCAGAGGGGAUAACCCGGCGAAAGUCGGACUAAUACCGCAUGAAGCAGGGGCCCCGCAUGGGGAUAUUUGCUAAAGAUUCAUCGCUGAUAGAUAGGCAUGCGUUCCAUUAGGCAGUUGGCGGGGUAACGGCCCACCAAACCGACGAUGGAUAGGGGUUCUGAGAGGAAGGUCCCCCACAUUGGAACUGAGACACGGUCCAA
Molecule: ribosomal RNA, 243 nt
Filed under: uncultured bacterium
Lineage: Bacteria
Description: partial 16S ribosomal RNA
Rfam family: Bacterial small subunit ribosomal RNA
Source: RNAcentral